RNAcentral lists this ribosomal RNA (460 nucleotides) under uncultured Allobrachymonas sp. RNAcentral describes it as "bacterial SSU rRNA". It matches the Rfam family "Bacterial small subunit ribosomal RNA", at positions 919 to 1382 of the family's 1533-position model. The record is from RNAcentral. Lineage: Bacteria; Pseudomonadati; Pseudomonadota; Betaproteobacteria; Burkholderiales; Comamonadaceae.
ACCCGCACAAGCGGUGGAUGAUGUGGUUUAAUUCGAUGCAACGCGAAAAACCUUACCCACCUUUUGACAUGGCAGGAAUCCCGAAGAGAUUUGGGAGUGCUCGAAAGAGAACCUGCACACAGGUGCUGCAUGGCUGUCGUCAGCUCGUGUCGUGAGAUGUUGGGUUAAGUCCCGCAACGAGCGCAACCCUUGCCAUUAGUUGCUACGAAAGGGCACUCUAAUGGGACUGCCGGUGACAAACCGGAGGAAGGUGGGGAUGACGUCAAGUCCUCAUGGCCCUUAUAGGUGGGGCUACACACGUCAUACAAUGGCCGGUACAGAGGGUAGCCAACCCGCGAGGGGGAGCCAAUCCCACAAAGCCGGUCGUAGUCCGGAUCGCAGUCUGCAACUCGACUGCGUGAAGUCGGAAUCGCUAGUAAUCGCGGAUCAGCAUGUCGCGGUGAAUACGUUCCCGGGUCUU